GAUGAACGCUGGCGGCGUGCCUAAUACAUGCAAGUCGAGCGAACGGACGAGAAGCUUGCUUCUCUGAUGUUAGCGGCGGACGGGUGAGUAACACGUGGAUAACCUACCUAUAAGACUGGGAUAACUUCGGGAAACCGGAGCUAAUACCGGAUGAUAUUUUGAACCGCAUGGUUCAAAAGUGAAAGACGGUCUUGCUGUCACUUAUAGAUGGAUCCGCGCUGCAUUAGCUAGUUGGUAAGGUAACGGCUUACCAAGGCAACGAUGCAUAGCCGACCUGAGAGGGUGAUCGGCCACACUGGAACUGAGACACGGUCCAGACUCCUACGGGAGGCAGCAGUAGGGAAUCUUCCGCAAUGGGCGAAAGCCUGACGGAGAAACGCCGCGUGAGUGAUGAAGGUCUUCGGAUCGUAAAACUCUGUUAUUAGGGAAGAACAUAUGUGUAAGUAACUGUGCACAUCUUGACGGUACCUAAUCAGAAAGCCACGGCUAACUACGUG
RNAcentral lists this ribosomal RNA (497 nucleotides) under uncultured bacterium. Its description in RNAcentral is "partial 16S ribosomal RNA". It matches the Rfam family "Bacterial small subunit ribosomal RNA", at positions 28 to 507 of the family's 1533-position model. The record is from RNAcentral.